GCAGGGAAUCUUGCGCAAUGGACGAAAGUCUGACGCAGCGACGCCGCGUGGGGGAAGAAGGCCUGCGGGUUGUAAACUCCUUUUCUAGGGGAAGAAGAUCUGACGGUACCCUAGGAAUAAGCCUCGGCUAACUACGUGCCAGCAGCCGCGGUAAUACGUAGGAGGCUAGCGUUGUCCGGAUUUACUGGGCGUAAAGGGGGCGCAGGUGGCUGAGUAGGUCCGUGGUGCAAGCUCCAGGCUUAACUUGGAGAGGUCUACGGAAACCGCUUGGCUUGAGGGCGGUAGAGGAGCACGGAAUUCCGGGUGUAGUGGUGAAAUGCGUAGAUAUCCGGAGGAACACCUGAGGCGAAAGCGGUGCUCUGGGCCGUUCCUGACACUCAGGCCCGAAAGCGUGGGGAGCAAACUGG
RNAcentral lists this ribosomal RNA (407 nucleotides) under uncultured bacterium. Its description in RNAcentral is "bacterial SSU rRNA". It matches the Rfam family "Bacterial small subunit ribosomal RNA", at positions 354 to 776 of the family's 1533-position model. The record is from RNAcentral.